UAAGCAUAUAAGUAAGCGGAGGACAAGAAACUAAACAGGAUCCCCAUAGUAAUGGCGAAUGAACCGGGAUAAACUCAGCAUGGAAAUUGGGGCCUUUGGCUUUGACUUGUAAUCUGGUGAGGCAUUGCCAACAGAGGCGCAUAUGUAAGUCUCUUGGAAAAGAGCAUCAACGAAGGUGAGAGUCCUGAUUGUCAUGUGCAGCCCCCCUGUGCACGGUGUGCCUUCUAAGAGUCACGUUCCUUGGGAUUGGAGCGCAAAUUGGGUGGUAACUUUCAUCUGAAGUUAAACAAUGGUUUGGGACCGAUAGGAAACAAGUACCAUGAGGGAAAGGUGAAAAGGACUUUGGAAAGAGAGUUAAAAGUGCCUGAAAUUGCUGAAGGGGAAGCGAAUGGAACCAGUAGUGCUGGGUGAGAUUGUCACAUGCCACAAGGAUUGGUUGCUGCCACAACGCAAGUGUGAUGGCGAUGUGUGAAUUGCUAGUGUGUGGUGUGUCUUACCUAGUGGGUCAUUGUGGGUUUAUGCAUUAAGAUAAGUCAAAGCAAGCGGGAGCAAGUUUACGAGUUUGUGAAUGUGUGUUGUUAUGCUUGUGCGUAAGCUUUAGUGUUUGUCUGGCUGCAGGGCUGUCCAUCCUCAAGCAGGACUUGUGGUUGCGAUGAGCAUAACCUUCUGCACAGAUAUUGACGAAAUGGUUUCAUUCGACCCGUCUUGAAACACGGACCAAGGA
Molecule: ribosomal RNA, 724 nt
Filed under: Dinophysis acuta
Lineage: Eukaryota; Dinophyceae; Dinophysales; Dinophysaceae
Description: LSU rRNA
Rfam family: Eukaryotic large subunit ribosomal RNA
Source: RNAcentral